RNAcentral lists this ribosomal RNA (1261 nucleotides) under uncultured bacterium. RNAcentral describes it as "bacterial SSU rRNA". It matches the Rfam family "Bacterial small subunit ribosomal RNA", at positions 27 to 1317 of the family's 1533-position model. The record is from RNAcentral.
GAACGAACGCUUGUGUGGUAUGCUUAACACAUGCAAGUCGAACGCGUUUUUGGGGGCAACUCCAAAAAUGAGUGGCAAACGGGUGAGUAAUACAUAGGAAUCUACCUAGCAGUAAGGAAUAACAUUGGGAAACCAAUGCUAAUGCCAUAUAUUACCAAUUUAUUGGGAAAGAUUUAUCGCUGUUAGAUGAGCCUUUGUCGGAUUAGCUAGUUGGUAGGGUAAUGGCCUACCAAGGCGAUGAUCCGUAGCUGGUCUGAGAGGAUGAUCAGCCACAUUGGGACUGCGACACGGCCCAAACUCCUACGGGAGGCAGCAGUGGGGAAUAUUGGACAGUGGACGCAAGUCUGAUCCAGCAAUACCACGUGAGUGAUGAAGGCCUUCGGGUUGUAAAACUCUUUUAGUAGGGAAGAUAAUGACGGUACCUACAGAAAAAGCACCGGCUAACUUCGUGCCAGCAGCCGCGGUAUACGAAGAGUGCUAGCGUUGUUCGGAAUCAUUGGGCGUAAAGCGUGCGUAGGCGGUUUAGUAAGUCGAAUGUGAAAGCCCAGAGCUUAACUUUGGAAUUGCAUUCGAAACUACUAGACUAGAGUAUGGCGGGGGAUAGUGGAAUUCUUAGUGUAGGGGUGAAAUCCGUAGAUAUUAAGAGGAACACCGGUGGCGAAGGCGACUAUCUACACCAUCACUGACGCUGAGGCACGAAAGCGUGGGGAGCAAACAGGAUUAGAUACCCUGGUAGUCCACGCAGUAAACGAUGAGUGCUAGUCAUUGGGAUCUUAGAUUUCGGUGGCGAAGCUAACGCGUUAAGCACUCCGCCUGGGGAGUACGGCCGCAAGGCUAAAACUCAAAGGAAUUGACGGGGACCCGCACAAGCAGUGGAGCAUGUGGUUUAAUUCGAUGCUACGCGAAAAACCUUACCAGCUCUUGUAUCCUCACUAUGAUUUUCAGAAAUGAAUUUCUUCACUUCGGGUGGGUGAGAGACAGGUGUUGCAUGGCUGUCGUCAGCUCGUGUCGUGAGAUGUUAGGUUAAGUCCUUCAACGAGCGCAACCCUCAUCCUUAUUUGCCAUCGGGUUAUGCCGGGAACUAUAAGGAAACUGCCAACGACAAGUUGGAGGAAGGUGGGGAUGAUGUCAAGUCAUCAUGGCCCUUAUGGGCUGGGCUACACACAUGCUACAAUGGUGGUUACAACGGGAUGCGAAAGAGCGAUCUGGAGCCAAUCCUUUAAAAGCCAUCUCAGUUCAGAUUGGGGGCUGCAACUCGCCC